RNAcentral lists this transfer RNA (72 nucleotides) under Schistocerca americana (American grasshopper). RNAcentral's name for it is "tRNA-Pro". It matches the Rfam family "tRNA". From Rfam's summary of the family: Transfer RNA (tRNA) molecules are approximately 80 nucleotides in length. Their secondary structure includes four short double-helical elements and three loops (D, anti-codon, and T loops). Further hydrogen bonds mediate the characteristic L-shaped molecular structure. tRNAs have two regions of fundamental functional importance: the anti-codon, which is responsible for specific mRNA codon recognition, and the 3' end, to which the tRNAs corresponding amino acid is attached (by aminoacyl-tRNA synthetases). tRNAs cope with the degeneracy of the genetic code in two manners: having more than one tRNA (with a specific anti-codon) for a particular amino acid; and 'wobble' base-pairing, i.e. permitting non-standard base-pairing at the 3rd anti-codon position. The record is from RNAcentral. Lineage: Eukaryota; Metazoa; Arthropoda; Insecta; Orthoptera; Acrididae.
GGAUCGUUGGUCUAGGGGUAUGAUUCCUGCUUUGGGUGCAGGAGGUCCCGGGUUCAAAUCCCGGACGAGCCC